ACACACCAAUCCUUGCAGUUCCGAAACCAGGAAAGGAGGGCCAAUGGGAAAUCAAUUCUGUUGUAGAACCACUUCAUGCCCUAGUGCCAAACCCUGCCCAUAUCCUAGCCCAAAUACCGGCUGAGGCAAAA
This is a long non-coding RNA of Amblyraja radiata (thorny skate), 131 nucleotides long. RefSeq lists it as uncharacterized. The transcript has 3 exons. The record is from RefSeq and is a predicted model, not a curated record. Lineage: Eukaryota; Metazoa; Chordata; Chondrichthyes; Rajiformes; Rajidae.